UACGAAGGGGGCUAGCGUUGCUCGGAAUCACUGGGCGUAAAGCGCACGUAGGCGGAUUGCUAAGUCAGGGGUGAAAGCCCGGAGCUCAACUCCGGAACUGCCUUUGAAACUGUCAGGCUCGAGUACGGGAGAGGUGAGUGGAAUUCCCAGUGUAGAGGUGAAAUUCGUAGAUAUUGGGAAGAACACCGGUGGCGAAGGCGGCUCACUGGCCCGUUUCUGACGCUCAGGCGCGACAGCGUGGGGAUCAAACAG
RNAcentral lists this ribosomal RNA (252 nucleotides) under uncultured bacterium. RNAcentral describes it as "partial 16S ribosomal RNA". It matches the Rfam family "Bacterial small subunit ribosomal RNA", at positions 524 to 775 of the family's 1533-position model. The record is from RNAcentral.